AUCCAAAUGACAAGUCCCAAAUAGGACGAACUACACAUCCUGGAU
This 45-nucleotide non-coding RNA is filed under the name Trichobilharzia regenti. The record is from RNAcentral. Lineage: Eukaryota; Metazoa; Platyhelminthes; Trematoda; Strigeidida; Schistosomatidae.